This 497-nucleotide ribosomal RNA is filed under the name uncultured bacterium. RNAcentral describes it as "partial 16S ribosomal RNA". It matches the Rfam family "Bacterial small subunit ribosomal RNA", at positions 28 to 507 of the family's 1533-position model. The record is from RNAcentral.
GAUGAACGCUGGCGGCGUGCCUAAUACAUGCAAGUCGAGCGAAUGGACGAGAAGCUUGCUUCUCUGAUGUUAGCGGCGGACGGGUGAGUAACACGUGGAUAACCUACCUAUAAGACUGGGAUAAGUUCGGGAAACCUGAGCUCAUACCGGAUAAUAUUUUGAACCGCAUGGUUCAAAAGUGAAAGACGGUCUUGCUGUCACUUAUAGAUGGAUCCGCGCUGCAUUAGCUAGUUGGUAAGGUAACGGCUUACCAAGGCAACGAUGCAUAGCCGACCUGAGAGGAUGAUCAGCCACACUGGAACUGAGACACGGUCCAGACUCCUACGGGAGGCAGCAGUAGGGAAUCUUCCGCAAUGGGCGAAAGCCUGACGGAGCAACGCCGCGUGAGUGAUGAAGGUCUUCGGAUCGUAAAACUCUGUUAUUAGGGAAGAACAUAUGUAUAAGUAACUGUGCACAUCUUGACGGUACCUAAUCAGAAAGCCACGGCUAACUACGUG